GGAGAGGUGGCUGAGUGGUCGAAAGCGCAUCUUUGGAGAAGAUGUGUAGCUGUAAAGUUACCGUGGGUUCAAAUCCCACCCUCUCCG
Molecule: transfer RNA, 87 nt
Filed under: Patescibacteria group bacterium
Lineage: Bacteria
Also listed under: 1 other name
Description: tRNA-Ser
Rfam family: tRNA
About the family: Transfer RNA (tRNA) molecules are approximately 80 nucleotides in length.
Source: RNAcentral